AAAACUUGGAGUGCCCAUCCUCUAAUAAUUAGGCCUUUGCCUUCCAUUCUUCCCUCAAAUCCUUCAGAUUCAUGGAUCACUUUAUGGAAAGCAGAGGAAUGAUUUUCU
Long non-coding RNA from Populus euphratica (Euphrates poplar), 108 nucleotides. RefSeq lists it as uncharacterized. NCBI's taxonomy places the organism in Eukaryota, Viridiplantae, Streptophyta, Magnoliopsida, Malpighiales, Salicaceae. The record is from RefSeq and is a predicted model, not a curated record. The transcript is spliced from 2 exons.